This is an RNA transcript of Drosophila pseudoobscura, 704 nucleotides long. It is a transcript of the gene named tctex1 domain-containing protein 2, with no coding region annotated. The record is from RefSeq and is a predicted model, not a curated record. Lineage: Eukaryota; Metazoa; Arthropoda; Insecta; Diptera; Drosophilidae. The transcript is spliced from 3 exons.
UUGUUAUUAUACGAGACGCUGUUGUUGUUGAGGAACCAAAAUUGACGCUCUUCCCUGGAGAUUUUGAGAGAAUAUGGCUGAGGAGCAGUUAAAAGAAGUGAAUGCCAAUCCCGCGUCGACAUCCCCAGUGACCGACGAACCAGAGAAGACUCCAAUGAAACCAAAUCCGCCAACACCGCUCUCGGCAUCAGCUGCCGAUGAAGGGCAGCAGACAGAAAAGGCGGUUCAGGCAGCGGCCUACAGCAUGCGACCGGCUUUUGGGGAAAUGUUUCCUCUGCCCAUUGUCAAGAACAUCAUGAACAGCGUUAUGACCGAGAAACUGAAAGAUAAAACAUACGACAAGGACGUGGCCAAGAUAUGGACGCUUGAGAUUGCCGAUGAAGUGAAUCAGAAAAUAGCCUCCAAUCCCAAGGUGAGGCGCUACAAGCAUGUGGUGCAGGUGAUGCUCGGCCAGGAGCUCGGUGCCGGGGGUUUCUAUAAUUCGCGCUGCUGCUGGGACUGCGACUGUGAUACCUCCGUCUCCGAGGUGUUCAGCAAUACCAGUAUAUUUUGUGUGUGCACUGUCUUUGGCACCUAUCAGUACUAAACGCGCACAAACGGCCAGCAAGGACGACGCACCAGAACUGAUUAGGAUAAGAGAACAACCUUACUAUAUUUAUUCUUAGCACGGCACCAGGAAACAAGGGAACAACGACCCAACUUCA